UAAGGGCGCACGGUGGAUGCCUUGGCACUAGGAGCCGAUGAAGGACGGGACUAACACCGAUAUGCUUUGGGGAGCUGUACGUAAGCUAUGAUCCAGAGAUUUCCGAAUGGGGGAACCCAACAUCUUUAAUAGGAUGUUACGAUUGUGUGAAUACAUAGCACAUUCGAGGUAGACGCAGAGAACUGAAACAUCUAAGUACCUGCAGGAAGAGAAAGAAAAUUCGAUUCCCUGAGUAGCGGCGAGCGAAACGGGAAAAGCCCAAACCAGCAAGCUUGCUUGUUGGGGUUGUAGGACUCCAAUAUGGUAGUUCUUUCAGAUAGUCGAAUGACUUGGAAAAGUCAGUCAAAGAGGGUAAAAACCCCGUAGACGAAAUGUGGAAGACACCUAGGAGGAUCCUGAGUACGGCGGAACACGAGAAAUUCCGUCGGAAUCCGGGAGGACCAUCUCCCAAGGCUAAAUACUCCCUAGUGACCGAUAGUGAACCAGUACCGUGAGGGAAAGGUGAAAAGCACCCCGGAAGGGGAGUGAAAUAGAACCUGAAACCGUGUGCCUACAACAAGUCAAAGCCCGUUAAUGGGUGAUGGCGUGCCUUUUGUAGAAUGAACCGGCGAGUUACGAUUGCAUGCGAGGUUAAGUUGAAGAGACGGAGCCGCAGCGAAAGCGAGUCUGAAUAGGGCGUUUGAGUAUGUAGUCGUAGACCCGAAACCAUGUGAUCUACCCAUGUCCAGGUUGAAGGUGCGGUAAAACGCACUGGAGGACCGAACCCACGUACGUUGAAAAGUGCGGGGAUGAGGUGUGGGUAGCGGAGAAAUUCCAAACGAACUUGGAGAUAGCUGGUUCUCUCCGAAAUAGCUUUAGGGCUAGCCUCGGAAUUGAGAAUGAUGGAGGUAGAGCACUGUUUGGACUAGGGGCCCAUCUCGGGUUACCG
Molecule: ribosomal RNA, 928 nt
Filed under: Enterococcus faecium
Lineage: Bacteria; Bacillati; Bacillota; Bacilli; Lactobacillales; Enterococcaceae
Description: partial 23S ribosomal RNA
Rfam family: Bacterial large subunit ribosomal RNA
Source: RNAcentral